AAAUGAUACUUGAACAACCUGUUUUGACAACAUUUAGACACUGGACGCGUGUCUAAAUGUGACUGGUGCACGUGGAAUUGUUUUUUAAAAUGAAAGAAUGACGUGGCAAUGAGAGAAUUGGGGGCAGAUUCAAAUUGUAGGGUUAUUUCGAAAAUUUCAGAUUGAAAUGUUUUCAGAGAGAGAAGGUGGAGAACAUUUCACGGAGCACCGAACCUUCGAACCUUCGAGCCAGCCACCACAACUCUCGCCGGAUAUCUGCCGCCCGUAGACGUUGUCGUUGCCGUUUUCGCUCCAUCCAGUGCCGCCGUAGUGCCGCCGGUGUCCGUCGUCUUCCACCCAGCCAGGCAGUUCGGAUUGCGGGUCGCCGCAGCUCCGGCGUCGGCAGACGAACCGAAGACGGCAUCGUCUUCCCUCCGGCCCAGCCAACCAAGGGCGCGUUUUGAGUAUCAUCGAUUCCUCUCACCCGCUUCCUUCCCUGUGCCGGACCCUUGCGGUGGCCGCUAGAGCAUCGCCGGAGUGUCGUCGAAGUGUCGCCGGACCCUUUCAAGGAGACUAGAAAUGAACAAAUUAUCUGAGGAUGUGUCUUCGUUUGUAAAUUGCCUUAGUCUUUCUUUGAUAUUUGAUUGUGGAGUAAUUGUUUUGAAAAUUAUGGAGUUGUGGGAUGACAUCAAGAAAUACGAAGGCAACACAAUGCCAGUUACACAAUAGUAAGUUGUAAAAAUUUUCAAGUUCUGGAGCUUUGAUAAAAAUGGUGCAUUUUAUUGAUAUGUUGUGCAUUUUUGUCUUCGCAUGAGGAACUACAACAGGUUAGGAAGAAGCAUGUUUGUGAUUGGAUUUUGGAUGUGGACAAUGUGCGGAGGGCUGAAGUGUUGCCAGAUUUAGGCAUUGUGUAGAUGUUGUUGAAUAGGGAUUUUUGUAAUGUUAUUGAUGAUUUGUUUAUAACUUUUUCAAUAUGUAUUAAUGAUGACUGAAUGUACAUAUUUGUUGUUAAAAGUGUUCAAAGAAAAGUAGUGAUUACAUUUAUUGUUAAUGAAAUUUGAAGAUCAUAAUGAUCAAUGUUUUAAAUGUUUGCACUGUAGUCCCCACUAAAUUUGGAUGUGAUUAUUUAUGAAAUCUUGUAUGUACAAGGUUCUAUGUAGAAAUAAUGAUUAAAAUAAAUUGGGUAAGUGCCAAUGAAUGCAUCAACAUGAGUUAGAUGUCCAUUAAGUUUGCAGAAAAAACCUUUGCCUGAAAUAAUAAUUGGUUCCACAUCACUUUUUAGUUGAAAAAAUGAUUUGAAAUAAAUUAGUCACUUCAAAAUAAGUGUCAUAUUCAUAGUUGACCUGCCUGUGUAAAACUUUUGCCUAAAGUACCCACUUAAUUUGCCUUUGCUACCAUUGUUGUUUCUGCACUAUGAAUUUUACUAGAUAUGGUUCCUUCGCUAUGGAAUUGUAUAUGAAUGGCAUAAUAAUUGAUUUCACAUCACUUUAAGUUCAAAAAAUGAUGAGAAAUAAAUUAGGCACUCCAAAAUGAUUGUAAUAUUUAUAGUUGACCUGCCUGUGCAAAACCUUUACCUGAAGUACCCACUUAUUUUGCCUUUGCUACCAUUAUUGUUUUUGCACCAUGAAUUUUACUAGAUAUGGUUCCUUCGCCAUGGAAUUGUAUAUGAAUGGCAUAAUAAUUGAUUCCACAUCACUUUAAGUUCCAGAAAUGAUGAGAAAUAAAUUAGGCACUCUAAAAUGACUGGAAUAUUCAUAGUUGACCUGCCUGUGCAAAACCUUUACCUGAAGUACCCACUUAUUUUGCCUUUGCUACCAUUGUUGUUUCUGCACCAUGAAUUUUACUAGAUAUGGUUCCUUGGUCAUGGAAUUGUAUAUGAAUGACAUAAUAAUUGGUUUCACAACACUUUUAA
Vigna angularis (adzuki bean) is the source of this 1891-nucleotide long non-coding RNA. RefSeq lists it as uncharacterized. The record is from RefSeq and is a predicted model, not a curated record. The transcript has 3 exons. NCBI's taxonomy places the organism in Eukaryota, Viridiplantae, Streptophyta, Magnoliopsida, Fabales, Fabaceae.